Molecule: ribosomal RNA, 478 nt
Filed under: uncultured bacterium
Lineage: Bacteria
Description: partial 16S ribosomal RNA
Rfam family: Bacterial small subunit ribosomal RNA
Source: RNAcentral
GACGAACGCUGGCGGCGUGCUUAACACAUGCAAGUCGAACGGUAAGGCCCUUCGGGGUACACGAGUGGCGAACGGGUGAGUAACACGUGGGUGAUCUGCCCUGCACUUCGGGAUAAGCCUGGGAAACUGGGUCUAAUACCGGAUAGGACCACUGCCUGCAUGGGUGGUGGUGGAAAGCUUUUGCGGUGUGGGAUGGGCCCGCGGCCUAUCAGCUUGUUGGUGGGGUGAUGGCCUACCAAGGCGACGACGGGUAGCCGGCCUGCGAGGGUGACCAGCCACACUGGGGCUGAGAUACGGCCCAGACUCCGACGGGGGGCAGCAGUGGGGAAUAUUGCACAAUGGGCGCGAGCCUGAUGCAGCGACGCCGCGUGAGGGAUGAUGGCCUUCGGGUUGUAAACCUCUUUCAGCACCGACGAAGCGCAAGUGACGGUAGGUGCAGAAUAAGCUCCGGCUAACUCCGUGCCAGCAGCCGCAGUAA